RNAcentral lists this ribosomal RNA (414 nucleotides) under Parasiro coiffaiti. RNAcentral describes it as "partial 16S ribosomal RNA". The record is from RNAcentral. Lineage: Eukaryota; Metazoa; Arthropoda; Arachnida; Opiliones; Parasironidae.
UUCUUUUUGGGGGAAUAAAAAGUAUUUUCUGCUCCAUGGGUUUAAAUAGCUGCAGGGAUCUGCACUAAGGUAGCAUAAUCAAUUGUCUCUUAAUUGGAGGCUGGAAUGAAGGAAAAGUUGAAAGGGAUCCUUUUUUAUAUACUUUAGUUUAAGUUAGGUUAAAAGUAAAAACACUUUUAUGAUCUUUGGGGACGAGAAGACCCUAUAAAGCUUUAGAAAUAAAUAGUUUAUGUAAUGGUUUAUUUCUUCUGUUGGGGCAACAUUUUAAGAUUGGGAAUUUUAAAAUUUAUUAUUUUGGGAGGAUCUGUUUGUGAGCCAUAAUUUAUGAUUGUUUGAUCAAGUUACUUUAGGGAUAACAGCAUAAUUAUAAUUGGAAAGUUCAUAUUGAUAAUUUUGNUUGUGACCUCGAUGUUG